RNAcentral lists this ribosomal RNA (253 nucleotides) under uncultured bacterium. RNAcentral's name for it is "partial 16S ribosomal RNA". It matches the Rfam family "Bacterial small subunit ribosomal RNA", at positions 524 to 776 of the family's 1533-position model. The record is from RNAcentral.
UACGUAGGGGCUAGCGUUGUCCGGAAUCAUUGGGCGUAAAGAGCGUGUAGGCGGUCCGGUAAGUCCGCUGUGAAAGUCGGGGCUCAACCCUCGAAUGCCGGUGGAUACUGUCGGGCUAGAGUGCGGAAGAGGCGAGUGGAAUUCCUGGUGUAGCGGUGAAAGUGACGCAGAUAUCAGGAGGAACACCUAUUGCGAAGGCAGCUCGCUGGGACGUAACUGACGCUGAGACGCGAAAGCGUGGGGAGCAAACAGG